UGAGUACGAGAUGCUACGGCAUCGAAGCAGUCUAUGUCAUACUUCCAAGAAAAGCUCGCACUGUCAAAAACAAAUGAAUGCCUGUACCAUAACCGACACAGGUGGGUAGGUAGAGUAUACUAAGGGGCGCGAGAUAACUCUCUCUAAGGAACUCGGCAAAAUGACUCCGUAACUUCGGGAGAAGGAGUGCCUUAUUUAUAAGGUUGCAAUAACCAGCUCCAAGCAACUGUUUAUCAAAAACACAGGUCUCCGCUAAGUCGUAAGACGAUGUAUGGGGGCUGACGCCUGCCCAGUGCCAGAAGGUUAAAGAAGUUGGUUAGCGCAAGCGAAGCUGAUAACUGAAGCCCUGGUGAACGGCGGCCGUAACUAUAACGGUCCUAAGGUAGCGAAAUUCCUUGUCGGGUAAGUUCCGACCCGCACGAAAGGCGUAAUGAUUUGGAGGCUGUCUCGGAGAGGGACUCGGUGAAAUAGACUUGUCUGUGAAGAUGCGGACUACCUGCACCAGGACAGAAAGACCCUAUGAAGCUUUACUGUAACUUGAGAUUGAAAUUGGACUUUAUUCGCGCAGUAUAGGUGGGAGGCAUUGAAAAUAUUCUUGCGGGAAUAUUGGAGCCAUCAGUGAGAUACCACUCUUGUAAUGUUAGAUUUCUAACUUUGUAUCAUUAUCUGGUCAAAGAACAGUUUCAGGCGGGCAGUUUGACUGGGGCGGUCGCCUCCUAAAUGGUAACGGAGGCGCACAAAGGUUUCCUCUGAACGGGUAGAAAUCGUAUCUAGAGUGUAAAGGCAUAAGGAAGCUUGACUGUGAGACCCACAAGUCGAGCAGGGACGAAAGUCGGUCUUAGUGAUCUGACGGUGCUGAGUGGAAAGGCCGUCACUCAACGGAUAAAAGUUACUCUAAGGAUAACAGGCUGAUCUCCCCCAAGAGUUCACAUCGACGGGGAGGUUUGGCACCUCGAUGUCGGCUCAUCGCAUCCUGGGGCGGUAGUACGUCCCAAGGGUUGGGCUGUUCGCCCAUGAAAGCGGUACGCGAGCUGGGUUCAGAACGUCGUGAGACAGUUCGGUCCAUAUCCGGUGUAGGCGUUAGAAUAUUGAGAGGAGCCUUCUUUAGUACGAGAGGACCGAGAAGGACAUACCUCUGGUGUACCAGUUAUCGUGCCAACGGUAAACGCUGGGUAGCCAUGUAUGGAGUGGAUAACCGCUGAAAGCAUCUAAGUGGGAAGCCCACCUCAAGAUAAG
Molecule: ribosomal RNA, 1236 nt
Filed under: metagenome
Description: bacterial LSU rRNA
Rfam family: Bacterial large subunit ribosomal RNA
Source: RNAcentral